Long non-coding RNA from Sander lucioperca (pikeperch), 408 nucleotides. RefSeq lists it as uncharacterized. The record is from RefSeq and is a predicted model, not a curated record. Lineage: Eukaryota; Metazoa; Chordata; Actinopteri; Perciformes; Percidae. The transcript has 3 exons.
GGGGUUGAACGAGAGUGCCGCAGUUAGUCGCUGCUUCACCAACGCUCUCAGCAUCUGGACUUUACUCAUUUUACCUCUUUCUCAACACAACAAAGGGACUCUUCUAACACACAUUUCUGCUAGACGCCAUCUUGUUCAAAGUGUGACAUUAGUAAACCUGUUUGAGUCGUGACUUAAUAACUGUCCCAUCAAAAGCUUUACAUAACUCUAAUUAAAGGCUUGCAACUGUCUUGCUUCUUGUAGUUGAAUACAGUUAACAUUGUCUGUAUCUUACAUGCAGGCUCAGGUAAGCUACUCACUGUUUCCAACUGUCCAGCAUCCAGUACAGACAGUAGGUUGUUGUUUUUUUUAAUUUUAUUUCAUAAUGAUCAUUAUGUGAGAAAAUAAUUGUUAUUAAUGUGUCUGAAU